GAUGAACGCUGGCGGCGUGCCUAAUACAUGCAAGUCGAGUGAACAGACGAGGAGCUUGCUCCUCUGACGUUAGCGGCGGACGGGUGAGUAACACGUGUAUAACCUACCUAUAAGACUGGGAUAACUUCGGGAAACCGGAGCUAAUACCGGAUAAUAUAUUGAACCGCAUGGUUCAAUAGUGAAAGACGGUUUUGCUGUCACUUAUAGAUGGAUCCGCGCCGCAUUAGCUAGUUGUUAAGGUAACGGCUUACCAAGGCAACGAUGCGUAGCCGACCUGAUAGGGUGAUCGGCCACACUGGAACUGAGACACGGUCCAGACUCCUACGGGAGGCAGCAGUAGGGAAUCGUCCGCAAUGGGCGAAAGCCUGACGGAGCAACGCCGCGUGAGUGAUGAAGGUCUUCGGAGCGUAAAACUCUGUUAUUAGGGAAGAACAAAUGUGUAAGUAACUAUGCACGUCUUGACGGUACCUAAUCAGAAAGCCACGGCUAACUACGUG
This 497-nucleotide ribosomal RNA is filed under the name uncultured bacterium. Its description in RNAcentral is "partial 16S ribosomal RNA". It matches the Rfam family "Bacterial small subunit ribosomal RNA", at positions 28 to 507 of the family's 1533-position model. The record is from RNAcentral.